CAUGUCUUUUUGAUUUUAAUUUAAGGUUUGAUCUGCCCAAUGAUUAUUUAAAUGGCCGCGAUAUUUUGAUCGUGCGAAGGUAGCAUAAUCAUUAGUUUCUUAAUUGGGAGCUGGUAUGAAUGAUUGGACAAGAAAUAAGCUGUCUCAAUUUUAUAAUUUUAAUUUUAUUUUUUAGUUAUAAAGCUAAGAUUUUUUUGUAAGACGAGAAGACCCUAUAGAGUUUUAUAUUUUUUAUUUAAGAUUGUUUUGGAAUUUAAAUUGUCUUAAUUUUUUAAAAUAUUUAGUUGGGGUGACAGAAAAAUUUAUUUAACUUUUUUUUUAUUAAAUAUUGAUUUAUAGAUUUUUGAGUUAAUAUUUUUAUUAUAAGAUUAAAUUACCUUAGGGAUAACAGCGUAAUUUUCUUUUAAAGUUCUUAUUGAAAAGAAAGAUUGCGACCUCGAUGUUGGAUUAAAGUAAAAAUUUGGUGUAGAAGCUAAAUUGAUUUAGUCUGUUCGACUAUUAAAACUUUACAUGAUCUGAGU
This 521-nucleotide ribosomal RNA is filed under the name Agrilus sp. UPOL RK0823. RNAcentral's name for it is "partial 16S ribosomal RNA". The stretch from base 384 to 521 matches the Rfam family "Archaeal large subunit ribosomal RNA", at positions 2542 to 2679 of the family's 2987-position model. Lineage: Eukaryota; Metazoa; Arthropoda; Insecta; Coleoptera; Buprestidae. The record is from RNAcentral.